This is a non-coding RNA of Phrynosoma platyrhinos (Desert horned lizard), 72 nucleotides long. The record is from the annotation of a GenBank genome assembly. Lineage: Eukaryota; Metazoa; Chordata; Lepidosauria; Squamata; Phrynosomatidae.
AAUGGUAUGGCACAGUGGUUUGAGUGUUGUACUAGGACUCUGGAGACCAGGGUUUGAAUCCCUGUUGAAGUG